RNAcentral lists this ribosomal RNA (427 nucleotides) under uncultured bacterium. RNAcentral describes it as "bacterial SSU rRNA". It matches the Rfam family "Bacterial small subunit ribosomal RNA", at positions 355 to 774 of the family's 1533-position model. The record is from RNAcentral.
UGGGGAAUUUUGGACAAUGGGCGCAAGCCUGAUCCAGCCAUGCCGCGUGAGUGAAGAAGGCCUUCGGGUUGUAAAGCUCUUUCGGACGGGAAGAAAUGGCGGGCUCUAACGUAGCCUGUCGAUGACGGUACCGUAAGAAGAAGCACCGGCUAACUACGUGCCAGCAGCCGCGGUAAUACGGAGGGUGCAAGCGUUAAUCGGAAUUACUGGGCGUAAAGCGUGCGCAGGCGGUUUGUUAAGUCUGCUGUGAAAUCCCCGAGCUCAACGUGGGAAUUGCAGUGGAUACUGGCAAGCUGGAGUACGGUAGAGGAAGGGGGAAUUCCCGGUGUAGCAGUGAAAUGCGUAGAGAUCGGGAGGAACACCAGUGGCGAAGGCGGCCUUCUGGACCAGUACUGACGCUCAUGCACGAAAGCGUGGGGAGCAAACA